This 67-nucleotide transfer RNA is filed under the name Duthiersia expansa. RNAcentral describes it as "tRNA-Met". The record is from RNAcentral. Lineage: Eukaryota; Metazoa; Platyhelminthes; Cestoda; Diphyllobothriidea; Diphyllobothriidae.
AAGCCUGUAAGUUAAAUUUAAACUGAGGGGUUCAUGUCCCCUUAUUAUACCUUAUGUGUCUGGCUGA